CUUACUACCCUGACGGG
Molecule: ribosomal RNA, 17 nt
Filed under: Robustosergia robusta
Lineage: Eukaryota; Metazoa; Arthropoda; Malacostraca; Decapoda; Sergestidae
Description: partial 5.8S ribosomal RNA
Source: RNAcentral